Molecule: transfer RNA, 72 nt
Filed under: Camelus bactrianus (Bactrian camel)
Lineage: Eukaryota; Metazoa; Chordata; Mammalia; Artiodactyla; Camelidae
Also listed under: 1 other name
Rfam family: tRNA
About the family: Transfer RNA (tRNA) molecules are approximately 80 nucleotides in length.
Source: Rfam by way of RNAcentral
GAAGACAUAGCUCAGUGGUAGAGCAUGUGCUUAGCAUGCAUGAGGUCCUGGGUUCAUCCCCUAGUAUAAUCA